AGCAGUGCACCAAGCCCUCCUCUUGGCAGGAAGCAGCAGACUAGAGCAAGUGAGGGAGAGUCGAAGCUGGCGGGGGGGUUUUCCCAGACAACAGCCUGUCCCGUGCUGCUCCCUGCCAGCCCCAAAUCAGGAGUCCCCCCACCCCCGCACCACCGUGUUUCUAGUCCUGAGAGUGAUGGGCUGGGGGAUGGAGCCUCUGAAAAUUCCACGAAGGUACUGCCCAGUUUUAGCAAUGAAAGUCCCACGUCACGGGAAACCUCUGAGUCCUGGACAAAUCAAGAUGACAUUUUCUAUGCAUAUGCAAGCAUGACUGGGGUAGAAAAGGAAGGAAGAAUGGAAGGAGGAAUAGCGGGAGACAGGACAGCCUCAGCGCAAACUUUCAUUUCCUUCCCACCAGAGGGCACUAGGAUCCCCCUCUCCCCACUGCAGUGCUGGCCUGUGAGUUGAACUUUCCACAAUUGCCCAAACCUCUCCUAUAUGACAAGGAGCCCUCAGCCAUUCUGGCCACAGCACCCAGUCCCUCUCCUUAGGAAGCAGGUACAAUCCGUCUAACACAGCCUUGCAGGAGGGUGAGUGGGCGUGGGUGUGCGUGUGCAUCUCUGUAUGUGGGGGUCUGUUUCUGCGUGUGUAUCUCUGUGUCUCUGCACCUGUGUGUGUCCCUGUAUCUGUGCACACGCCCUCUCAGCAGCAGCGUCUGGUGAUGAAGCAGUUGGGGCUGGUGCUUCUGCUGGGAGUGGCGG
This 740-nucleotide long non-coding RNA is filed under the name Homo sapiens (human). Its description in RNAcentral is "non-protein coding LINC02520:33". Lineage: Eukaryota; Metazoa; Chordata; Mammalia; Primates; Hominidae. The record is from RNAcentral.